Molecule: ribosomal RNA, 484 nt
Filed under: uncultured bacterium
Lineage: Bacteria
Description: partial 16S ribosomal RNA
Rfam family: Bacterial small subunit ribosomal RNA
Source: RNAcentral
GACGAACGCUGGCGGCGUGCUUAACACAUGCAAGUCGAACGAUGAAGCCGGAGCUUGCUCUGGUGAAUUAGUGGCGAACGGGUGAGUAACACGUGAGUAACCUGCCCUUGACUCUGGGAUAACUGCGGGAAACUGUAGCUAAUACCGGAUACGACCCUCGGAGGCAUCUCCUGGGGGUGGAAAGAAUUUCGGUCAAGGAUGGACUCGCGGCCUAUCAGCUAGUUGGUGAGGUAAAGGCUCACCAAGGCGACGACGGGUAGCCGGCCUGAGAGGGGUACCGGCCACGAUGGGACUGGGCAACGGCCCAGACUCCUACGGGAGGCAGCAGUGUGGAAUAUUGCACAAUGGGCGCAAGCCUGAUGCAGCAACGCCGCGUGAGGGAUGACGGCCUUCGGGUUGUAAACCUCUUUUAGCAGGGAAGAAGCGAAAGUGACGGUACCUGCAGAAAAAGCACCGGCUAACUACGUGCCAGCCGCCGCAGUAA